GACGAACGCUGGCGGCGUGCUUAACACAUGCAAGUCGAACGAUGAAGCCUAGCUUGCUAGGUGGAUUAGUGGCGAACGGGUGAGUAAUACGUGAGUAACCUACCUUUAACUCUGGGAUAAGCCUGGGAAACUGGGUCUAAUACCGGAUACGACCAAUCUCCGCAUGGGGUGUUGGUGGAAAGCGUUAUGUAGUGGCUAUAGAUGGGCUCACGGCCUAUCAGCUUGUUGGUGAGGUAACGGCUCACCAAGGCGACGACGGGUAGCCGGCCUGAGAGGGUGACCGGCCACACUGGGACUGAGACACGGCCCAGACUCCUACGGGAGGCAGCAGUGGGGAAUAUUGCACAAUGGGCGCAAGCCUGAUGCAGCGACGCCGCGUGAGGGAUGACGGCCUUCGGGUUGUAAACCUCUGUUAGCAGGGAAGAAGAGAGAUUGACGGUACCUGCAGAGAAAGCGCCGGCUAACUACGUGCCAGCAGCCGCGGUAAUACGUAGGGCGCGAGCGUUGUCCGGAAUUUAUGGGCGUAAAGAGCUUGUAGGCGGUUUGUCGCGUCUGCUGUGAAGGCCGGGGCUUAACCCCGUGUAUUGCAGUGGGUACGGGCAGACUAGAGUGCAGUAGGGGAGACUGGAAUUCCUGGUGUAGCGGUGGAAUGCGCAGAUAUCAGGAGGAACACCGAUGGCGAAGGCAGGUCUCUGGGCUGUAACUGACGCUGAGAAGCGAAAGCAUGGGGAGCGAACAGGAUUAGACACCCUGGUAGUCCAUGCCGUAAACGUUGGGCACUGGGUGUGGGGGACAUUCCACGUUUUCCGCGCCGUAGCUAACGCAUUAAGUGCCCCGCCUGGGGAGUACGGCCGCAAGGCUAAAACUCAAAGAAAUUGACGGGGGCCCGCACAAGCGGCGGAGCAUGCGGAUUAAUUCGAUGCAACGCGAAGAACCUUACCAAGGCUUGACAUAUACUGGACCGCAUCAGAGAUGGUGUUUCCCUUCGGGGCUGGUAUACAGGUGGUGCAUGGUUGUCGUCAGCUCGUGUCGUGAGAUGUUGGGUUAAGUCCCGCAACGAGCGCAACCCUCGUUCUAUGUUGCCAGCACGUUAUGGUGGGGACUCAUAGGAGACUGCCGGGGUCAACUCGGAGGAAGGUGGGGAUGACGUCAAAUCAUCAUGCCCCUUAUGUCUUGGGCUUCACGCAUGCUACAAUGGCCGGUACAGAGGGUUGCGAUACUGUGAGGUGGAGCUAAUCCCUAAAAGCCGGUCUCAGUUCGGAUUGGGGUCUGCAACUCGACCCCAUGAAGUCGGAGUCGCUAGUAAUCGCAGAUCAGCAACGCUGCGGUGAAUACGUUCCCGGGCCU
RNAcentral lists this ribosomal RNA (1347 nucleotides) under uncultured bacterium. Its description in RNAcentral is "bacterial SSU rRNA". It matches the Rfam family "Bacterial small subunit ribosomal RNA", at positions 28 to 1381 of the family's 1533-position model. The record is from RNAcentral.